CCGGACUCGUCCAGCGGCAGGACACGCGGCUCUGACCCGCGAGAGCCAGGUUCGAAUCCUGGGUCCGGUG
RNAcentral lists this transfer RNA (70 nucleotides) under Myxococcales bacterium. RNAcentral describes it as "tRNA-Gln". It matches the Rfam family "tRNA". From Rfam's summary of the family: Transfer RNA (tRNA) molecules are approximately 80 nucleotides in length. Their secondary structure includes four short double-helical elements and three loops (D, anti-codon, and T loops). Further hydrogen bonds mediate the characteristic L-shaped molecular structure. tRNAs have two regions of fundamental functional importance: the anti-codon, which is responsible for specific mRNA codon recognition, and the 3' end, to which the tRNAs corresponding amino acid is attached (by aminoacyl-tRNA synthetases). tRNAs cope with the degeneracy of the genetic code in two manners: having more than one tRNA (with a specific anti-codon) for a particular amino acid; and 'wobble' base-pairing, i.e. permitting non-standard base-pairing at the 3rd anti-codon position. RNAcentral also lists the same sequence under 1 other name. The record is from RNAcentral. Lineage: Bacteria; Pseudomonadati; Myxococcota; Myxococcia; Myxococcales.